RNAcentral lists this ribosomal RNA (387 nucleotides) under uncultured bacterium. RNAcentral's name for it is "bacterial SSU rRNA". It matches the Rfam family "Bacterial small subunit ribosomal RNA", at positions 30 to 419 of the family's 1533-position model. The record is from RNAcentral.
AUUGAACGCUGGCGGCAUGCCUUACACAUGCAAGUCGAACGGUAACGGGCCUUCGGGUGCCGACGAGUGGCGAACGGGUGAGUAAUGUAUCGGAACGUACCUUUCAGUGGGGGAUAACACAGCGAAAGCUGUGCUAAUACCGCAUACGACCUGAGGGUGAAAGCGGGGGAUCGCAAGACCUCGCGCGAUGGGAGCGGCCGAUAUCGGAUUAGCUUGUUGGUGAGGUAAAGGCUCACCAAGGCGACGAUCCGUAGCUGGUCUGAGAGGACGACCAGCCACACUGGAACUGAGACACGGUCCAGACUCCUACGGGAGGCAGCAGUGGGGAAUUUUGGACAAUGGGGGCAACCCUGAUCCAGCCAUUCCGCGUGAGUGAAGAAGGCCUUC